RNAcentral lists this ribosomal RNA (253 nucleotides) under uncultured bacterium. RNAcentral's name for it is "partial 16S ribosomal RNA". It matches the Rfam family "Bacterial small subunit ribosomal RNA", at positions 524 to 776 of the family's 1533-position model. The record is from RNAcentral.
UACAGAGGUCUCAAGCGUUGUUCGGAUUCAUUGGGCGUAAAGGGUGCGUAGGCGGCGCGGUAAGUCGGGUGUGAAAUCUCGGAGCUUAACUCCGAAACUGCAUUCGAUACUGCCGUGCUUGAGGACUGGAGAGGAGACUGGAAUUUACGGUGUAGCGGUGAAAUGCGUAGAUAUCGUAAGGAACGCCGGUGGCGAAAGCGGCGUGCUGGACCACUUCUGACGCUGAGGCGCGAAAGCCAGGGGAGCAAACGGG